GCUAGCGGCGGGCUUAACACAUGCAAGUCGAGCGCUUGACUUCGGUCAGGAGCGGCGGACGGGUGAGUAACACGUGGGUUACGUACCCUCUGGUGGGGAAUAACCAUGGGAAACCGUGGCUAAUACCGCAUAUGGUCUACGGAUCAAAGCCUUCGGGCGCCAGAGGAUCGGCCCGCGGCCCAUUAUUUAAUCCUAGUUGGUGGGGUAACGGCCUACCAAGGGUACGAUGGGUAGCUGGUCUGAGAGGAUGAUCAGCCACACUGGAACUGAGACACGGUCCAGACUCCUACGGGAGGCAGCAGUGGGGAAUAUUGCGCAAUGGGCGGAAGCCUGACGCAGCCACGCCGCGUGUGUGAUGAAGGCCCUCGGGUCGUAAAGCACUGUCGGGAGGGAAGAAGAUCUGACGGUACCUCCCAAGAAAGCACCGGCUAACUCC
This 436-nucleotide ribosomal RNA is filed under the name uncultured bacterium. RNAcentral's name for it is "bacterial SSU rRNA". It matches the Rfam family "Bacterial small subunit ribosomal RNA", at positions 35 to 504 of the family's 1533-position model. The record is from RNAcentral.